UUGAACGCUGGCGGCAGGCCUUACACAUGCAAGUCGAGCGAGAAAGGUCUUCGGACUGAGUAGAGCGGCGGACGGGUGAGUAACGCGUAGAUAUCUACCUAGUAGUGGGGGACAACCUGGUGAAAACCAGGCUAAUACCGCAUACGUCCUACGGGAGAAAGCGGGGGAUCUUCGGACCUCGCGCUAUUAGAUGAGUCUGCGUUGGAUUAGCUUGUUGGUGAGGUAAAGGCUCACCAAGGCUACGAUCUUUAGCGGGUCUGAGAGGACGAUCCGCCACAUUGGGACUGAGACACGGCCCAGACUCCUACGGGAGGCAGCAGUGGGGAAUCUUGC
RNAcentral lists this ribosomal RNA (333 nucleotides) under uncultured Alteromonadales bacterium. RNAcentral describes it as "SSU rRNA". It matches the Rfam family "Bacterial small subunit ribosomal RNA", at positions 30 to 367 of the family's 1533-position model. The record is from RNAcentral. Lineage: Bacteria; Pseudomonadati; Pseudomonadota; Gammaproteobacteria; Alteromonadales.